RNAcentral lists this transfer RNA (74 nucleotides) under Escherichia coli. Its description in RNAcentral is "tRNA-Pro". It matches the Rfam family "tRNA". Rfam says of the family: Transfer RNA (tRNA) molecules are approximately 80 nucleotides in length. Their secondary structure includes four short double-helical elements and three loops (D, anti-codon, and T loops). Further hydrogen bonds mediate the characteristic L-shaped molecular structure. tRNAs have two regions of fundamental functional importance: the anti-codon, which is responsible for specific mRNA codon recognition, and the 3' end, to which the tRNAs corresponding amino acid is attached (by aminoacyl-tRNA synthetases). tRNAs cope with the degeneracy of the genetic code in two manners: having more than one tRNA (with a specific anti-codon) for a particular amino acid; and 'wobble' base-pairing, i.e. permitting non-standard base-pairing at the 3rd anti-codon position. The record is from RNAcentral. RNAcentral also lists the same sequence under 2 other names. Lineage: Bacteria; Pseudomonadati; Pseudomonadota; Gammaproteobacteria; Enterobacterales; Enterobacteriaceae.
CGGCACGUAGCGCAGCCUGGUAGCGCACCGUCAUGGGGUGUCGGGGGUCGGAGGUUCAAAUCCUCUCGUGCCAA